GACGAACGCUGGCGGCGUGCUUAACACAUGCAAGUCGAACGAAGAGCGAUGGAAGCUUGCUUCUAUCAAUCUUAGUGGCGAACGGGUGAGUAACGCGUAAUCAACCUGCCCUUCAGAGGGGGACAACAGUUGGAAACGACUGCUAAUACCGCAUACGAUCUAACCUCGGCAUCGAGGAUGGAUGAAAGGUGGCCUCUAUUUAUAAGCUAUCACUGAAGGAGGGGAUUGCGUCUGAUUAGCUAGUUGGAGGGGUAACGGCCCACCAAGGCGAUGAUCAGUAGCCGGUCUGAGAGGAUGAACGGCCACAUUGGGACUGAGACACGGCCCAGACUCCUACGGGAGGCAGCAGUGGGGAAUCUUCCGCAAUGGACGAAAGUCUGACGGAGCAACGCCGCGUGAGUGAUGACGGCCUUCGGGUUGUAAAGCUCUGUUAAUCGGGACGAAAGGCCUUCUUGCGAACAGUUAGAAGG
This 470-nucleotide ribosomal RNA is filed under the name Veillonella parvula. Its description in RNAcentral is "bacterial SSU rRNA". It matches the Rfam family "Bacterial small subunit ribosomal RNA", at positions 28 to 475 of the family's 1533-position model. Lineage: Bacteria; Bacillati; Bacillota; Negativicutes; Veillonellales; Veillonellaceae. The record is from RNAcentral.